Molecule: ribosomal RNA, 880 nt
Filed under: Desulfovibrio oxyclinae
Lineage: Bacteria; Pseudomonadati; Thermodesulfobacteriota; Desulfovibrionia; Desulfovibrionales; Desulfovibrionaceae
Also listed under: 2 other names
Description: bacterial SSU rRNA
Rfam family: Bacterial small subunit ribosomal RNA
Source: RNAcentral
AGAGUUUGAUCCUGGCUCAGAUUGAACGCUGGCGGCGUGCUUAACACAUGCAAGUCGUGCGAGAAAGUUUCCUUCGGGAGAUGAGUAGAGCGGCGCACGGGUGAGUAACGCGUGGGUAAUCUACCCGACAGAUCGGGAUAACAGGCGGAAACGCCUGCUAAUACCGGAUACGCUUCGUAUUUAACUUUACGGGGGAAAGGUGGCCUCUACAUGUAAGCUACCACUGUCGGAUGGGCCCGCGUCUCAUUAGCUUGUUGGUGGGGUAAUGGCCUACCAAGGCAACGAUGAGUAGCUGGUUUGAGAGGAUGAUCAGCCACACUGGGACUGAAACACGGCCCAGACUCCUACGGGAGGCAGCAGUGGGGAAUAUUGCGCAAUGGGGGAAACCCUGACGCAGCGACGCCGUGUGCGGGAAGAAGGCCUUCGGGUCGUAAACCGCUGUCAGGAGGGAAGAAACCAUUAGAGUCGAAUAGGCUCUUUUGCUGACGGUACCUCCAGAGGAAGCACCGGCUAACUCCGUGCCAGCAGCCGCGGUAAUACGGAGGGUGCAAGCGUUAAUCGGAAUCACUGGGCGUAAAGCGUGCGUAGGCGGCGCAGUAAGUCAGGGGUGAAAGCCCUCGGCUCAACCGAGGAAUUGCCUCUGAUACUGCUGUGCUUGAGGCUUGGAGAGGCAGGCGGAAUUCCAGGUGUAGGAGUGAAAUCCGUAGAUAUCUUGAGGAACACCGGUGGCGAAGGCGGCCUGCUGGACAAGUUCUGACGCUGAGGUACGAAAGCGUGGGUAGCAAACAGGAUUAGAUACCCUGGUAGUCCACGCCGUAAACGAUGGAUGCUAGGUGUCGGGCCGUUGGGUUCGGUGCCGUAGUUAACGCGAUAAGCAUCC